RNAcentral lists this long non-coding RNA (621 nucleotides) under Gossypium raimondii (Peruvian cotton). RNAcentral's name for it is "long non-coding RNA (GRAI_LNC011196)". Lineage: Eukaryota; Viridiplantae; Streptophyta; Magnoliopsida; Malvales; Malvaceae. The record is from RNAcentral.
UCAGACUUCGGGUUUCCCAUUCCCCGGAAGUAGAAAGAAACAGUGGCUUCUACACCUGAAAAACAAAUAGCAUAAAAAUAAGCACACUGAAAUAGAAUUAAAAAAAGCAUCCACCUGAAACUACAAAAUAGAAAUGAAAAGGCAAUGACAAAAAAAUGACAAAAUUCAUGUGAAUCAUACCUCAAAAUCAGUCUAAGAUGAAGAAAGGGAUUGCAAAAAUCAUAAAAUAAACUGAAACGACAGAAAAAACUUUGGGUCCUCUCUCGGAAACUAACUUGCUACUGUAGCGUGCGUUAUUUUGAGAUUUGGUCUCCCAAAGCCAAGAAAUAAAAAAGAGGAUAAAAUUGAGAUGAGAGUCUGUUCUGAAAGGAGAAUAAACGGAGGAAGGGAGGAAGGGAGAAAGGGAAAACAAACUGGCAAGCAGACAGAGAGGGAGAGAUAAACAGCUUAUAUAUGGGGGUAAGGGAUAUAUGGAAGACAGAGAGAUAAUAAAUAAGGGUGGUGAUUGAAGACAGGGAUAAACGACAAUAAAUGAGAUAGGUAUAAAAUUAAAAGAAACGGCUAAUAAAGGAGUAUUUAAUUUUCAAACUGUGGAAAACUAGCGGGAUGUGUACAGUCAGC